RNAcentral lists this long non-coding RNA (1941 nucleotides) under Homo sapiens (human). RNAcentral's name for it is "HSALNT0300652". Lineage: Eukaryota; Metazoa; Chordata; Mammalia; Primates; Hominidae. The record is from RNAcentral.
GCUGGAGCUUUUAAAAAAAAAAAAAAAAAAGAAAAGAAAAUCAUGUUGCUUACCCUAUUGAGAGAUUAAUCAAAAGUGGCUGGAAAGAGAUAUAAAAAUAAAUUUCAAAAGUCAGAUUCUGAAGAUAUUUAAGAUCAAAACAAGAUGGUUAGGAUGGAAGGAAAAGCAACGCUGGAAAGAGUGGCUGAGAUAUUUCCAUGAAGUGAAAGUGUGUUUUCCUCAGAAUUCUCUAGUUUCUGCUGGGGGUAGGAUAAGAGUUAAUGAGAGCUCUGAGAUGACCAGGAUAACACCAACAGAAAGUGACAGAGUUUUUCUGCUCUCUUUAUAAACAUGAAAUAAAUCCUCAAAAUCUAAAAGGAGAAAACGUCCUCAAGUACUAACAUUGCUUUUGCUGUCACAUUUGUCCUGGCUUUGCAGAGGUUAAAAAGAUUAUUGCAUAGCAGCUUCCAAGCAUGGAAAAAGGAGGUAAUCAAAUUGGACCACAGCCCAGGGAAACUGUGAGGUCUUACUGAGCACUGCGUGCCAGUGGAAAGAAGCAUUUUGAAAGGUAAACUGGUGGGGGCGAUGGGGUUCAGAUAUUCUCUGAGACCGGGAACGUCACUGCUCUCCCCGGGAAGCUGCUUUAGGCACAGUGCUCCUGCCUGACUCGGGAAGACUGCUCUCCUGGCCUCCUGGAAGUCAUAUGGGAAACAGAUACCCAGUUUUUCAGCUCCAUUAACUGAAAGACUCUUUUCCUGAAUGUUGUCCUUGCAUCAUUGCACAAAAUCAGCUUACCAUAAAGAGGAUUUACUGAAAUCCUGAAACUUAGGAGUCAGCAAGUUUUUCAUUUGUGUUUGUCAAAUGUCAAGAAAAGCUGAGGAGUUACAAGAAACUCAGUGAUCCCUGACAGCUCUCUGCAAUUGCAGCAAAAUCUGAGCAAGACUGACAGAAACCACUCGGGGACAAACAUCUGACUUCCACAGCAGUUAAAAUCAUUGAAUACAGAACCAAAAUGUCUUCAUGUGAAAAACUCCAUCAAGACCCAAGAAAACUUCUGACUCAUUAGUAGUUUAGGGUACAUCAUGUGGAUGCUUUUGAAACCCCAUUCUUUGAAGUCUUCCCCACUUAACAUAUAUCUAAAAACCAUACAUACAUUCAUUAGAUAUAAUCUUAGUUACCAGUUUUAAAGGAAAUAAAAGCAUAUAGAACACAAUAGUUACAUCUCCAAAAUAAAGAAGCUUGUAAGAUGUGUAAAAGUUAAGAAUUCAUUUUCACUAACAAUUAUUCUCAAACUUAAAUGAGGAUACUGAGGACAUGAAAAUUACAGAGCUAGUAUCAUGAUGCUAUAAAAUACUGAUAUAUUUAAUAUCCCAACAGGGACUGAUUAGACUUAUAUAUUUAAAACAUAUUUAAGUUGCUUAGAAAUUUUAAGUCAAUAAAAUUCACAUACAAUAAUAUACAUUAUAAAAUAUGAAUUUAAAGCUUUGGAAUUUACUGAUCAGACAUUUCCAAUAGCUCUUUGAAAUGUUCCCAUACAUAUAUUUUGUUGUUUGCUUGAUGGCAAAGUUUAAAAAUGUUGAGUAAAAAUAUUAGAACUUGUGAAACCCUGUUUGUAUACACCCAAACACACUUACAUAUCUAUCUAUAUCUAUCUAUAGAAAUAUAUGUAUGCAUUUGUAUACACACACACACACACACACACACACACACAUAUGGCAAAAUACAUUGCUAGAACAAAGGAAGUGGAGUCACAUAGAUUCUUAGUAUCCAUUCAGAUUCAAAAAUUCUAACAAACUAAAUAUGGGAUUAAGGAAUGGUAAAAUUUUAAAUCUCAUAUUAGCACUACGUACUGUUUUAACAAGCAAUCAACUAAACAAAGGCAUUUUCUUCUCUUUAAGAGCAAUUCAGUGGGCAGGUCACGAUCUCUCUGUCUGUGUGUGUGUGUGUGUGUGUGUGUGUGUG